GUCCCAUCCACCCCGUCUGUAUCAGUUCAGAAUGUAUAUCCUUCUCAGACCGUAAUCUGGCCAGGGAGUGGACUGUUUGAAGCAGGUGACGAUGCAAUACUAGACAGCGUUUUGGAUUACGAGAACGAGAGUGGACUUCUAUCUCAAUCUGAAAUUAAUACAACAGACAGGCCUGAGACACCUCCGACUAACGACUGCAG
Long non-coding RNA from Mugil cephalus (flathead mullet), 200 nucleotides. RefSeq lists it as uncharacterized. The record is from RefSeq and is a predicted model, not a curated record. The transcript is spliced from 3 exons. Lineage: Eukaryota; Metazoa; Chordata; Actinopteri; Mugiliformes; Mugilidae.